This 68-nucleotide ribosomal RNA is filed under the name uncultured Apatococcus. RNAcentral describes it as "partial 26S ribosomal RNA". It matches the Rfam family "Eukaryotic large subunit ribosomal RNA", at positions 1 to 69 of the family's 3401-position model. Lineage: Eukaryota; Viridiplantae; Chlorophyta; Trebouxiophyceae. The record is from RNAcentral.
GACCUGAGAUCAGGCAAGGACACCCGCUGAACUUAAGCAUAUCAAUAAGCGGAGGAAAAGAAACUAAC